GUAACAAAUUUCAAAAUUACCUAAUUGUUUACGCUGAAGUAAAUAUGCAUGGAAUCUAACUAUCCCUUCUUGUACAUAUUUUUAUUAAGCAUUAUUAAUCUCUUUAUUUCUAUGUACUGCUCUCUGUUUUAUGAAAAUAUUGAAAUAUCCUACAUAGGUGGGGAUUGUACAAGAUGGCUUCACAAUCAUACGAGCAAAUGAAUAAUUUUUUAUAUCACGACAUUCUCUUAACGC
This 234-nucleotide long non-coding RNA is filed under the name Setaria viridis. RNAcentral's name for it is "long non-coding RNA (SVIR_LNC004906)". The record is from RNAcentral. Lineage: Eukaryota; Viridiplantae; Streptophyta; Magnoliopsida; Poales; Poaceae.